RNAcentral lists this long non-coding RNA (2167 nucleotides) under Zonotrichia albicollis (white-throated sparrow). RNAcentral's name for it is "lncRNA (ENSZALG00000015687.1)". The record is from RNAcentral. Lineage: Eukaryota; Metazoa; Chordata; Aves; Passeriformes; Passerellidae.
CCUUCCCAGUAUCCAACCCUGCUCCCAGUUUAACUCAGUGGGCCAAAUCCAGGGAGAAAUCCCAUGGCAGUGCCAGGAACCCCCAUCCAUGGUGGGAGCUGCUCAAGUUUCCCUCUGGAUUUCAUUCCCAGGGAGGAAAUGGGCUGGGAGCUUUAUCAGGAGCAGCUGUUCCCAUUCCCAGAGAUUCCGUGGAGAUGGGAGAGGGUUACAGAAAAUGAGGGAGGCAGGAUCUGCUCGGAAGGUUUGGAUUUGAUCUAAGUGGGAAUUUUGCAAUGGGUUCUGUCUUUAUUAGAAUUAUAAUUAUCAUUGUUUUGUUCCAGGCAGCAGCUCAGGCUCCCCAUUAUUUUUAAUUGGCUUCUUUCCUCGUUAGAUGGAACACAGAUUCGUCAGCGGGCACAAUUCCUCACGGAAUGCAAACCCAGGCACCGAAUGUCCGGGCUCCAGCAGUUCUGGAUAAACACUGAGCGUUUCUAUAGUGGGAAAUGCUCCCUUAGGGAAUUCUCUGUCCUGGGGAUGUGGGACACGGCCGAGCUGUCCUGUCCCCGCACAGGGAUGGAUUCAGCCUCGGGGAAAACAAUUGGAGGGCAGGAAAUAGGUGGGAAUAGGAGGGACAGAAUUCCCAAAGGUGCAUUCCUGCUGCAAUUGUCUUGGAGCAGGUAAAUACCCGGGAAUUUGGUAUUUGAACCAGGAACUUGGCUCAGCUGCUGGAAUAACCACCGGGGCUCCGGAAAUGCUGGAAUUCUCCUCCAUUGCCUCCAAUCCUGAACAAUGGUCCCAAACUCCUCGGAGUGCCCAGACAUCAUCGCUCCCCCCGGGCAGGACAAGGAGCCGUAUCCGGCCAUUCCCGCUGGGAUUUCAGCGCUCUUUGUCCUCCAGGGCUUCCUGUCCUUGGAAAGCAGGGAAAGGGGCCAGGAGCUAAAAAAGGAGCAAAUCCCAGGUAUUCCAGCUCCUUGUGCUUUUCCCAAGGCUCCAGGAGCGUUGGAGAGUCACGUUCUCUCUUCCAGCAGAAGGAGAUUCCUGCAGAGCGACCAACCCCAUUCCAAAGGAAAACCAAAAAAUAAAGACGAGACAGAAGGAAGGGAAUCUCCUUCUUUUAUGGACGGAAAAAUAAGGGCAAUAAAUCCAAAGCAAACCCCCUGCGCCCCAGGGCUGGCAGGAGGGGUCUGAAUCCCAGAGUUUGUGGUGGUGGUGUUGGGAAAAGUCCAGUUGAGCUCCAGGCACCGUGGGCAGCCCAUCCCGUGCUCUCCAGGGCACUCCCGGGCACGGCUGCCCUGGCAUCGGCUCCUUGGCAUCGGCUCCUUGGCAUCGGCUCCAUGUCCCGUCCCUCCCGCCAGCAGAAAGGCCAGCGGUGCUCAGUGUCACCUCAGGGUGCUCGGUGUGACUGUGGCGCGCUCGGUGUGACCCACGUGCACUCGGUGUCACCUUGGGGUGCUCACUGUGACUGCAGCGCUGCUUGGUGUGACCUGGGCGUACUCGGCGUGAUCGUGGCGCUGUUCUGGGUGACCUCAGUGCUGCUCAGUGUCACCAUGGUGCUGCUUGGUGUCACCUCAGGGUGCUCAGUGUGACCACGGCACUGUUCAGAGGGACCCGGGUGUGCUCGGUGUCACCUUGGCGCCACUCAGCGUGACCCGGGCACUGCUUGGUGUCACUGUGGUGCUGCUCACUGUGACCAUGGCGUGCUCAGUAUGACCAUGGUUGUGCUUGGUGUCACCUGGGUGCUGCUUGGUGUGAUGGCAGCAUUGACUGCUUGAUGUGACUGGGCACACUCAGUGUGACCAUGGCACUGCUCAGUGACACCUCAGCACUGCUUGGUGUGACCGUGGUACUGCUCAGUGUCACCUUGGCUCUGCUUGGUGUGACGACAGCGCUGCUUGAUGUGACAUGGGCACUGCUUGAUGUGACUUGGGCACACUCCGUGUGGCCCCAGCGCUGCUCAGUGUCACCUCAGCGGUGCUUGGUGUCACCUUGGGGUGCUCAGUGUCACCUCAGCGCUGCUCGGUGUGUCCACGGCACUGCUUAGUGUCACCUUGGCACUGCUUGACGUGACCUGGACUGUAACAGAUAGGGCAACACCUGGACACACUCUGUGUGACCACAGCACUGCUCAGUGUCACCUCAGCAGUGCUCAGUGUCAUCUUGGGGUGCUUGGUGUGAUGGCAGCACUGCU